This 450-nucleotide ribosomal RNA is filed under the name uncultured bacterium. RNAcentral describes it as "partial 16S ribosomal RNA". It matches the Rfam family "Bacterial small subunit ribosomal RNA", at positions 28 to 506 of the family's 1533-position model. The record is from RNAcentral.
GAUGAACGCUGGCGGCGUGCCUAACACAUGCAAGUCGAGCGGCAGCGAGGGGUGCUUGCACCCUGUCGGCGAGCGGCGGACGGCUGAGUAACGCGUGGGAACGUGCCCCAAAGUGAGGAAUAACUGCCCGAAAGGGUAGCUAAUACCGCAUAUUAUCUUCGGAUCAAAGGAUUUAUCCGCUUUGGGAGCGGCUCGCGUCGGAUUAGGUAGUUGGUGAGGUAAUGGCUCACCAAGCCGACGAUCCGUAGCUGGUCUGAGAGGAUGACCAGCCAGACUGGAACUGAGACACGGUCCAGACUCCUACGGGAGGCAGCAGUGAGGAAUCUUCCACAAUGGGCGAAAGCCUGAUGGAGCAACGCCGCGUGCAGGACGAAGGCCUUCGGGUUGUAAACUGCUUUUAUAAGUGAGGAAUAUGACGGUAACUUAUGAAUAAAGAUCGGCGAACUACGU